Non-coding RNA from Cinara cedri, 268 nucleotides. Lineage: Eukaryota; Metazoa; Arthropoda; Insecta; Hemiptera; Aphididae. The record is from the annotation of a GenBank genome assembly.
AAUUACAAUUUUAAAAGAUCCAUAAAGAUAACUUUAGCUAAACGAUUCAAUAAUUUAUCUCGGAUAACGUAUUUUUCAUUUUUCUAGAUACAAUCGACGAUAAAAAAAUGCCUACCUAUAAAUAAUUAAACGCAACACUGUUUACAGUACGUCGUUUGUGCUACUUAUACGAAAACGAAAAUGUUAUAGGCCUUCAACAAGCAUCGAAACGAACGCGGUCUUUGUAAAGCGCUUGUUUUUCGAUUUAUUAUUUUCUAGACUUUGGAAU